Long non-coding RNA from Gorilla gorilla gorilla (western lowland gorilla), 481 nucleotides. RefSeq lists it as uncharacterized. NCBI's taxonomy places the organism in Eukaryota, Metazoa, Chordata, Mammalia, Primates, Hominidae. The transcript has 4 exons. The record is from RefSeq and is a predicted model, not a curated record.
UAGUUCAUGUGCGUAAUUUUUAAAGAUAGACAUAAGACAUAUCCCUGAAGGCGAGUACAAGAGAGAAAGACAGGGCUCUGAAAAUACUGCCACAGGCUCAAGUUCCAAAGUGCUGGAGUUACAAAAGGAUAAAGGACAACGCAAAGGACUUUUUAGCCAAAGAAGAACCAGAAAGGUUCUGAGCACUGAUUUCAUCAAGCCGAUGGAGGCAACAACAUAUUCCUUAGAGAAAAUUAAGAUGCACAGUAUGCUUCAAGAUGAUGGCCAAGAACAACCAACUCAACGAGCCUUCAGGAAUUCAUGAUUUGAAUAUCAUGUUCAAGCUACAGACAUCAGCAAACUCGAGAAAAGAAGGUUUGCUCUGGGAGAUUCUACAUGUGACCUGUUUAUAUGUAAUUACAUUAUCUAUUACUCAAGUAUUUGUCUUGUGCUGUCUAAAUUAUAAGCUUCUCAACUGUUUGCCUUGAGUGAGAUAUGCACG